Desarmillaria tabescens is the source of this 106-nucleotide non-coding RNA. The record is from the annotation of a RefSeq genome assembly. Lineage: Eukaryota; Fungi; Basidiomycota; Agaricomycetes; Agaricales; Physalacriaceae.
GCCCGCCUAGCUCAAUCGGAUAGAGCGUCAGACUUUUAAGGCAAGGGUUGGCCCUGUCAAGGGUUAAGUGAUCUGAAGGCUGCGAGUUCGAGACUCGCGGUGGGCU